AGCGAACGCUGGCGGCAGGCCUAACACAUGCAAGUCGAACGAACUCUUCGGAGUUAGUGGCGGACGGGUGAGUAACACGUGGGAACGUGCCUUUAGGUUCGGAAUAACUCAGGGAAACUUGUGCUAAUACCGAAUGUGCCCUUCGGGGGAAAGAUUUAUCGCCUUUAGAGCGGCCCGCGUCUGAUUAGCUGGUUGGUGAGGUAAAGGCUCACCAAGGCGACGAUCAGUAGCUGGUCUGAGAGGAUGAUCAGCCACAUUGGGACUGAGACACGGCCCAAACUCCUACGGGAGGCAGCAGUGGGGAAUCUUGCGCAAUGGGCGAAAGCCUGACGCAGCCAUGCCGCGUGAAUGAUGAAGGUCUUAGGAUUGUAAAAUUCUUUCACCGGGGACGAUAAUGACGGUACCCGGAGAAGAAGCCCCGGCUAACUUCGUG
This 433-nucleotide ribosomal RNA is filed under the name uncultured bacterium. RNAcentral describes it as "partial 16S ribosomal RNA". It matches the Rfam family "Bacterial small subunit ribosomal RNA", at positions 29 to 507 of the family's 1533-position model. The record is from RNAcentral.